CAUUCACGGAGAGUUUGAUCCUGGCUCAGGACGAACGCUGGCGGCGUGCUUAACACAUGCAAGUCGAACGAUGAACCACUUCGGUGGGGAUUAGUGGCGAACGGGUGAGUAACACGUGGGCAAUCUGCCCUUCACUCUGGGACAAGCCCUGGAAACGGGGUCUAAUACCGGAUACGAGCCUCCAAGGCAUCUUGGAGGCUGGAAAGCUCCGGCGGUGAAGGAUGAGCCCGCGGCCUAUCAGCUUGUUGGUGAGGUAAUGGCUCACCAAGGCGACGACGGGUAGCCGGCCUGAGAGGGCGACCGGCCACACUGGGACUGAGACACGGCCCAGACUCCUACGGGAGGCAGCAGUGGGGAAUAUUGCACAAUGGGCGAAAGCCUGAUGCAGCGACGCCGCGUGAGGGAUGACGGCCUUCGGGUUGUAAACCUCUUUCAGCAGGGAAGAAGCGAAAGUGACGGUACCUGCAGAAGAAGCGCCGGCUAACUACGUGCCAGCAGCCGCGGUAAUACGUAGGGCGCAAGCGUUGUCCGGAAUUAUUGGGCGUAAAGAGCUCGUAGGCGGCUUGUCACGUCGAUUGUGAAAGCCCGAGGCUUAACCUCGGGUCUGCAGCCGAUACGGGCUAGCUAGAGUGUGGUAGGGGAGAUCGGAAUUCCUGGUGUAGCGGUGAAAUGCGCAGAUAUCAGGAGGAACACCGGUGGCGAAGGCGGAUCUCUGGGCCAUUACUGACGCUGAGGAGCGAAAGCGUGGGGAGCGAACAGGAUUAGAUACCCUGGUAGUCCACGCCGUAAACGGUGGGAACUAGGUGUUGGCGACAUUCCACGUCGUCGGUGCCGCAGCUAACGCAUUAAGUUCCCCGCCUGGGGAGUACGGCCGCAAGGCUAAA
This 884-nucleotide ribosomal RNA is filed under the name Streptomyces sp. SID9944. RNAcentral describes it as "bacterial SSU rRNA". It matches the Rfam family "Bacterial small subunit ribosomal RNA", at positions 1 to 898 of the family's 1533-position model. Lineage: Bacteria; Bacillati; Actinomycetota; Actinomycetes; Kitasatosporales; Streptomycetaceae. The record is from RNAcentral.